UUCUUCGGAGAGUUUGAUCAUGGCUCAGGACGAACGCUGGCGGCGUGCCUAAAACAUGCAAGUCGAACGAGGGGGCAACCCCUAGUGGCGAACGGCGGAGUAAGACAUGAACAACGUGCCCUGAAGUCCGGGACAAACGCAGAAAUGCCAUAAAUACCGGAUGUGGCCCGAGGUCGGCAUCGACCUCGGAUUAAACGGACUUUCGCUUCAGGAGCGGUUCAUGGCCUAUCAGGUAGUUGGUGGGGUAACGGCCUACCAAGCCGACGACAGGUAGCGGGUCUGAGAGGAUGAUCCGCCCGAGUGGGACUGAGACACGGCCCACACACCUACGGGUGGCAGCAGUUGGGAAUCUUGCACAAUGGGGGAAA
RNAcentral lists this ribosomal RNA (368 nucleotides) under bacterium. Its description in RNAcentral is "bacterial SSU rRNA". It matches the Rfam family "Bacterial small subunit ribosomal RNA", at positions 1 to 380 of the family's 1533-position model. The record is from RNAcentral.